ACUUCCUCUUAGUUGUAGAGCUCUUGCAUUUUGAAUCAUUACUUUUCCAAAAUAAGUAAAUAAUUAUGUUGAAUAAAUUUAAGUUCACCCAAAACAUCUCACCACGGAGGGUAACGGGAAUUGCAAUGGUUUUAUUGCUAAUUUGGAGGGAAAUGGCAUUUUUAUAUCAUGCGUCUUCCCAGCUGGUAACGUGGGCACUCCAUUUAUUUAAAUCUGUUUUAUGACCUUUCAUAACAUUUAUUGUUUUUUUUCAGACAGGCUCAUCAUUCCUUGUUGGAUUUCUUCCUGGACUUAUUUAAAAGUUGUUAUAGCUAUUAUGAAUGAGCUUUUUUAAAAAUUGUAAUUCCUAACUAUAUUACUGGUGUAGAAGAAAACUACAGAGCUGGUAUCCAGCUACUUUAUUGAUUUCUUACUGUUUCUAUUGGCUUUUAUUUUUCAUUAGUAGAGGUUGAGAAUUUCAGUAUUUCAUUCCCAGAUCCAUAUCUCAUUUCUUUCUCUUGUUUUCUUUGCGUUGCUGGAGCCUCCAAAACAGUCUGGGGUAACUGCUAUGCUAGCAGGCCUCCUCAUCUCAUUCCUGAUUUUAAGUCUAGUCUUUCCACUGGGUAACAUUUUCUUGUUAGUUUCUGAUAAAUACUUAGAACUCUCCUUCUAUCCUACUUUGGGAUGGAUGAUGAGUUUUAUUAAAUACCCAUUUGGCACCCAC
This 703-nucleotide long non-coding RNA is filed under the name Homo sapiens (human). RNAcentral describes it as "HSALNT0246041". Lineage: Eukaryota; Metazoa; Chordata; Mammalia; Primates; Hominidae. The record is from RNAcentral.